This is a microRNA precursor of Chlorocebus sabaeus (green monkey), 137 nucleotides long. NCBI's taxonomy places the organism in Eukaryota, Metazoa, Chordata, Mammalia, Primates, Cercopithecidae. The record is from Ensembl.
UUGGCCUUGUGAUGACUCUCGGUCUUCUUGGGCAGUAGCACGGCCUGAAUGUUGGGCAGGACACCACCCUGAGCGAUGGUCACUUUGCCCAGCAGCUUGUUGAGCUCCUCGUCGUUACGGAUGGCCAGCUGCAGGUG